GAUCAUACACAACUGUAGCUCAAUCGAUAUCCAGAUCAUAUAAGAGAGUAUACAAAGCAUCUAUGGAAUGAACUACUCUCAUUCGACUCGCCCCCGUACCUUCAAAUUCAUUGGGUAGUAGAUGAGCAGUCUCUGGAACCUCUCUAUCAGUGAGAAUUACUAUGCAUAUCCCUGGAUGGUAUGCCCUUUGUGGAGGUUACCGGAAGUGGUCUGAUAUUGGUUAAGAAGUAGAUGGUUGAGGUUCCCUCAUAUGCUCAUUCUCAGGAAUAGAGUUUCCAUAUUGCUACUCCCCCUCGGAGGUAGGAUCUUCAGGCUUUACGAUUGGGGAGUCAUAAUCCCUAGUUUUUCUUUUAUGAUAGUAGAGAUGACAUGAGUCAAUCGUAGGGAAACAUCCAAAGAAUUUGAAGAUCUUUAAGCUGAGGCAUCCUUAUGUUUAU
RNAcentral lists this long non-coding RNA (437 nucleotides) under Panax ginseng (ginseng). Its description in RNAcentral is "long non-coding RNA (PGIN_LNC002355)". The record is from RNAcentral. Lineage: Eukaryota; Viridiplantae; Streptophyta; Magnoliopsida; Apiales; Araliaceae.